Molecule: non-coding RNA, 1136 nt
Organism: Cinara cedri
Lineage: Eukaryota; Metazoa; Arthropoda; Insecta; Hemiptera; Aphididae
Source: the annotation of a GenBank genome assembly
CGCUGAUCCUAAAAAUAUUUUAAUUUUUUGCUGUACAGUUAAAGAAGUUUUUGAAAAUUAAUAAUAUAACUGAAAUUAAAUUUAAAAUUUGAUUAACUUGAUAAACUUCAACAUAUGGUAAUAACUCCGAAUUAAUUUACGUCACCUCGUUUAGAUACCUUAGAUCAUAUACCGAGGUAGAUUAAUCUACCUUGUCAUGUACACUGAACUAUAAGAUAACUUGUCUUAUAUUUCAAUGGUCGUAACCAUUCAUAUUAAUAAUUUUGCAAGAUGCAUACUAAUUGCUGAAAUAUAAUUGUAUAGGUUACUGCGGAAAAAAUUUAAACAAAGUUCUUCCAGUAACUUAGGUACCUUGGUAUUUUCAAUUAACUCGUUUUGAUUAACAGUGCUUAAAGACGAAUUUGAAAGAUGCAAUAGUUUAUUUGCUUUGAAUAUAACUUCUUUAUUGGUGAUUGGAUAUCUAACCAUAAGUGCAGUGUGAAUAGGGUUGCCACCUUUGAAAAAUGGUUGACUUGGAGACAGACUGAUAAGCGACAAAAGAUACCGUACCUGUGCCUAUACAGCAAACGCCUAUCUAUAAAUUUAAUGUAUAACAAUAGUCAAUAAAUCGUAUUUUAUGUCAUAUUUUGGCAAAUGAAAAUAUUGUUCUCGUUACUUAUCGAUAAACUAUACACAAUUAUAUGAAUAGUACUAAUUUUACGACCCGGAAAAUAAUUCACUGAACCCGUAGUCCGUAGAUUUAUAUGUAAAAUCGGAGUAUCUGAGUGAAACCCGGAGAAGUGGCAACCCCAAGUGUGAACCGUGAUUGAAGAGUUCUUAUAGUUGCUGAAGUAAGUUAAAAUAAGAGCAUUUAGCUCAGUGUUGGGAAAUUUAUUUUAAAAAGUACCUAGGUACCUACAUCCUAAUAAUAUUUUAGUUAGUUUCAAAAAAAUCUUAUUAAUUAUUUAAUAAAAUAAACACAAUAAUAUUACCCUAAUGCAUACAUUUUGUUUUGUUUUUUUAGGCGCAACAGAAUACGUAUAAAACGUAGUUGGUUAUUGCACCGAAUAUGUUUUAAGUGAUAAAACAUGACAACAAAUAAAAAUAGUAAAAAAAUGCAUACAUAAAAAUAAUAAAUUUUUAAAUGCGUUUCCUGG